Molecule: non-coding RNA, 69 nt
Filed under: Streptomyces sp.
Lineage: Bacteria; Bacillati; Actinomycetota; Actinomycetes; Kitasatosporales; Streptomycetaceae
Source: RNAcentral
CCUUUGCUAUGUUCGAGAGCAGAGCCCGACGAGACGCGCCGUACCGGGUCAAGGCAAAGACGACGCACC